UGUGUGUGUGUGUGCAUUUGUUUAGCAAAGCCUUACAUACAGGUGCAAAUAGUAAAUCCUCUUUUGCAACCUAAAACUCAUGGUUGAAUAUGAGUUUUGGUACAUGUAAAAAGGAAUAUG
This 120-nucleotide small nucleolar RNA is filed under the name Dipodomys ordii (Ord's kangaroo rat). RNAcentral's name for it is "Small nucleolar RNA SNORA40". It matches the Rfam family "Small nucleolar RNA SNORA40". Rfam says of the family: The snoRNA ACA 40 belongs to the H/ACA family of snoRNAs and guides the pseudouridylation of 28S rRNA subunit at position U4565. The record is from Rfam by way of RNAcentral. Lineage: Eukaryota; Metazoa; Chordata; Mammalia; Rodentia; Heteromyidae.